UCCAGUAUAAAUUCCGUUCAAUUACUAUUCAAUGGAGCUCAACAACACCGGAUGUGGGCGGAGAACACUACGGAUGGCGGGCAGAGCUCACCUAUACUGCUUAGGGUGCUGUUGCGAAGAUUGACGAUCUUGAGCGAAGUGCGGUGUGUGUCCUCGAAGAGGCGGAUGACGCUGUCGUCCAGCGGGCGAUUGAAUCGCUGAUAGUUCUCGAGGAAGCCGUCGCAGAUCUCGUUGGGCAGCACAAUGCCCGGAUUGAGGCCGCGCUGGCCAUCUGGCCGGUGGCUGCUAAUGAUGUCCAGAUUGUUGCACAGCUUCUGGUAGGCGAUCUCCUUGAGGGUCAGCGGCUCCUCGUCCAGCGAGCCGUCCUCCAUCAGCCGCACCUUGCAGCUCAUCUUGGGGCCGCAGUUCUUGUGCUCCGCCAGUGGGGCCUCAAUAAUGGCCCUGUUGUCUAAAACGAAACGAGGCGAUGGGAGGUAUGAUUAAACAAAAUUUCAAUAAGCGUGAAACUAGUUUUUGGGUAUGUGGUCAUCAUUUCAUCAUUUUGUGAAAUAUUGAAAUUACUGUUCUUUGAAAUAAAAAAAGUGUUGAAACAGAAUUCAGAAACGAUAUCGGAGAAUAUAC
Drosophila melanogaster (fruit fly) is the source of this 621-nucleotide non-coding RNA. Lineage: Eukaryota; Metazoa; Arthropoda; Insecta; Diptera; Drosophilidae. The record is from Ensembl.